UACGAAGGGUGCAAGCGUUACUCGGAAUUACUGGGCGUAAAGCGUGCGUAGGUGGUGCGUUAAGUCUGUCGUGAAAGCCCCGGGCUCAACCUGGGAAUGGCGAUGGAUACUGGCGCGCUAGAGUGCGGUAGAGGAGAGUGGAAUUCCCGGUGUAGCAGUGAAAUGCGUAGAGAUGUGGAGGAACACCAGUGGCGAAGGCGACUCUUUGGCCUGUAACUGACGCUGAGGCGCGAAAGCGUGGGGAGCAAACAGG
This 253-nucleotide ribosomal RNA is filed under the name uncultured bacterium. RNAcentral describes it as "partial 16S ribosomal RNA". It matches the Rfam family "Bacterial small subunit ribosomal RNA", at positions 524 to 776 of the family's 1533-position model. The record is from RNAcentral.